Molecule: ribosomal RNA, 472 nt
Filed under: uncultured bacterium
Lineage: Bacteria
Description: partial 16S ribosomal RNA
Rfam family: Bacterial small subunit ribosomal RNA
Source: RNAcentral
GACGAACGCUGGCGGCGUGCUUAACACAUGCAAGUCGAACGCUGAAGCUUGGUGCUUGCACUGGGUGGGUGAGUGGCGCACGGGUGAGUAAUACGUGAGUAACCUGCCCUUGACUCUGGGAUAAGCCUGGGAAACUGGGUCUAAUACUGGAUACGACAUGUCACCGCAUGGUGGUGUGUGGAAAGGGUUUUGCUGGUUUUGGAUGGGCUCACGGCCUAUCAGCUUGUUGGUGGGGUAAUGGCUCACCAAGGCGACGACGGGUAGCCGGCCUGAGAGGGUGACCGGCCACACUGGGACUGAGACACGGCCCAGACUCCUACGGGAGGCAGCAGUGGGGAAUAUUGCACAAUGGGCGGAAGCCUGAUGCAGCGACGCCGCGUGAGGGAUGACGGCCUUCGGGUUGUAAACCUCUUUCAGCAGGGAAGAAGCGAAAGUGACGGUACGUGCAGAAGAAGCGCCGGCUAACUACGUG